GGAAUCGCUAGUAAUCGCGGAUCAGAAUGCCGCGGUGAAUACGUUCCCGGGUCUUGUACACACCGCCCGUCACACCAUGGGAGUCGGUAACACCCGAAGCCGAUAGUCUAACGAAAGAGGACGUCGUCGAAGGUGGGAUUGAUGACUGGGGUGAAGUCGUAACAAGGUAUC
Molecule: ribosomal RNA, 171 nt
Filed under: uncultured bacterium
Lineage: Bacteria
Description: partial 16S ribosomal RNA
Rfam family: Bacterial small subunit ribosomal RNA
Source: RNAcentral